GAUGAACGCUGGCGGCGUGCCUAAUACAUGCAAGUCGAGCGAACAGAUAAGGAGCUUGCUCCUUUGACGUUAGCGGCGGACGGGUGAGUAACACGUGGGUAACCUACCUAUAAGACUGGGAUAACUCCGGGAAACCGGGGCUAAUGCCGGAUAAUAUUUAGAACCGCAUGGUUCUAAAGUGAAAGAUGGUUUUGCUAUCACUUAUAGAUGGAUCCGCGCCGUAUUAGCUAGUUGGUAAGGUAACGGCUUACCAAGGCAACGAUACGUAGCCGACCUGAGAGGGUGAUCGGCCACACUGGAACUGAGACACGGUCCAGACUCCUACGGGAGGCAGCAGUAGGGAAUCUUCCGCAAUGGGCGAAAGCCUGACGGAGCAACGCCGCGUGAGUGAUGAAGGUCUUCGGAUCGUAAAACUCUGUUAUUAGGGAAGAACAAAUGUGUAAGUAACUGUGCACGUCUUGACGGUACCUAAUCAGAAAGCCACGGCUAACUACGUG
This 497-nucleotide ribosomal RNA is filed under the name uncultured bacterium. RNAcentral describes it as "partial 16S ribosomal RNA". It matches the Rfam family "Bacterial small subunit ribosomal RNA", at positions 28 to 507 of the family's 1533-position model. The record is from RNAcentral.